GGGGGGGGGGGGGGGGGGGGGGGGGGGGGGGGGGGGGGGGGGCGGGGGGGGGGGGGGGGGGGGGUGGGGGGGGGGGGGGGGGGGCGGGGGAGGGAUGCAUCGGGGGCUCCUUUUUAGGGGGGGGUAGCGUGGGGAGAGGGACGAUAGUACCGCAUACGCCCUACGGGUGACGGCAGGGGCUCGUCGCACCUUGCGCGGUUGACUUCGCCGAUGUCGGAUGAGCUAGUCGGCGGGGUACAGGCCCACCAAGGCGACGAUCCGUAGCUGGUCUGUGAGGAUGAGCAGCCACACUGGAACUGGGACACGGGCCAGACUCCUACGGGAGGCAGCAGUGGGGAAUAUUGGACAAUGGGCGCAAGCCUGAUCCAGCCAUACCGCGUGGGUGAAGAAGGCCUUCGGGUUGUAAAGCCCUUUUGUUGGGAAAGAAAAGCAGCAGGUUAAUACCCCGCUGUUCUGACGGUACCCAAAGAAUAAGCACCGGCUAACUUCGUG
Molecule: ribosomal RNA, 492 nt
Filed under: uncultured bacterium
Lineage: Bacteria
Description: partial 16S ribosomal RNA
Rfam family: Bacterial small subunit ribosomal RNA (bases 64-492)
Source: RNAcentral